RNAcentral lists this ribosomal RNA (425 nucleotides) under uncultured bacterium. Its description in RNAcentral is "bacterial SSU rRNA". It matches the Rfam family "Bacterial small subunit ribosomal RNA", at positions 356 to 773 of the family's 1533-position model. The record is from RNAcentral.
GGGGAAUUUUGGACAAUGGGCGAAAGCCUGAUCCAGCAAUGCCGCGUGAGUGAAGAAGGCCUUCGGGUUGUAAAGCUCUUUCAAUCGAGAAGAAAAAAUCAUGACUAAUAAUCAUGAUUAAUGACGGUAUCGAUAGAAGAAGCACCGGCUAACUACGUGCCAGCAGCCGCGGUAAUACGUAGGGUGCUAGCGUUAAUCGGAAUUACUGGGCGUAAAGGGUGCGCAGGCGGUUUUGUAAGUCAGAUGUGAAAUCCCCGGGCUUAACCUGGGAAUUGCGUUUGAAACUACAAAACUAGAGUGUAGCAGAGGGAGGUGGAAUUUCAUGUGUAGCAGUGAAAUGCGUAGAGAUAUGGAAGAACAUCGAUGGCGAAGGCAGCCUCCUGGGUUAACACCGACGCUCAUGCACGAAAGCGUGGGGAGCAAAC